GCAAGUCGAGCGGAUGACGGGAGCUUGCUCCUUGAUUCAACGGCGGACGGGUGAGUAAUGCCUAGGAAUCUGCCUGGUAGUGGGGGACAACGUUCCCAACGGGGCGCUAAUACCGCAUACGUCCUACGGGAGAAAGUGGGGGAUCUUCGGACCUCACGCUAUCAGAUGAGUCAGGUCGGAUGGCUAGUUGGUGAGGUAAAGGCUCACCGGGGCAACGAUCCGUAACUGGUCUGAGAGGAUGAUCACUCGCACUGGAGCUGAGACACGGUGCAAACUCCUACCGGAGGCAACUCUGGGGAAUAUUGGACAAUGGGAAAAAUCCUGAUCGAGCCAUGCCCCGUGUGAGAAGAGCGUCUUCAGAUUGUAAAGCUCUUUAAUUUGGGAGGAAUGUUACUAAGUUAAAACCUUGUUGUUUUGACCUGCCCGACGAAAUACGCACCCGCUAACUAUGUGCCAGCAUCCGCGGUAAUACACAGGGUGCAAACGUUAAUCGGAAUUACUGGGCGUAAAACGCGCGUAGGUGGUUCGUUAAGUUGGAUGUGAAAGCCCCGGGCUCAACCUGGGAACUGCAUCCAAAACUGGCGAGCUAGAGUAUGGUAGAGGGUGGUGGAAUUUCCUGUGUGCGGUGAAAUGCGUAGAUAUAAGAAGGAACACCAUGUGGCGAAACACACCACCUGGACUGAUACUGACACUGCUGUGCUGACGCGUGAGGAGCAAACAGGAUUAGAUACCCUGGUAGUCCACGCCGUAAACGAUGUCAACUAACCGUUGGAAUCCUUGAGUUUUAGUGGCGCAGCUCACGCAUUAAGUUGACCGCCUGUAGAGUACCGCCCCGGGUUAAAACUCAAAUGAAUUGACGGGGGACCGCAUAAGCGGUGCACCAUGUGGUUUAGUUCUAUGCAGCUCGAAUAACCUUACCAGGCCUUGACAUGCAGAGGACUUUC
RNAcentral lists this ribosomal RNA (944 nucleotides) under Pseudomonas monteilii. Its description in RNAcentral is "bacterial SSU rRNA". It matches the Rfam family "Bacterial small subunit ribosomal RNA", at positions 57 to 1000 of the family's 1533-position model. The record is from RNAcentral. Lineage: Bacteria; Pseudomonadati; Pseudomonadota; Gammaproteobacteria; Pseudomonadales; Pseudomonadaceae.